This 429-nucleotide ribosomal RNA is filed under the name Chloroflexota bacterium. RNAcentral's name for it is "Chloroflexi bacterium partial 16S ribosomal RNA". It matches the Rfam family "Bacterial small subunit ribosomal RNA", at positions 355 to 776 of the family's 1533-position model. Lineage: Bacteria; Bacillati; Chloroflexota. The record is from RNAcentral.
GGGGGAAUAUUGCACAAUGGGCGCAAGCCUGAUGCAGCCAUGCCGCGGGUGUGAAGAAGGCCGGCGGGUUGUAAAGCACUUUCAGCGGGGAGGAAGGCGAUAAGGUUAAUAACCUUGUCGAUUGACGUUAUCCGCAGAAGAAGCACCGGCAAACUCUGUGCCAGCAGCCGCGGUAAUACGGAGGGUGCAAGCGUUAAUCGGAAUUACUGGGCGUAAAGCGCACGCAGGCGGUCUGUCAAGUCGGAUGUGAAAUCCCCGGGCUCAACCUGGGAACUGCAUUCGAAACUGGCAGGCUAGAGUCUUGUAGAGGGGGGUAGAAUUCCAGGUGUAGCGGUGAAAUGCGUAGAGAUCUGGAGGAAUACCGGUGGCGAAGGCGGCCCCCUGGACAAAGACUGACGCUCAGGUGCGAAAGCGUGGGGAGCAAACAGG